This 429-nucleotide ribosomal RNA is filed under the name uncultured bacterium. Its description in RNAcentral is "bacterial SSU rRNA". It matches the Rfam family "Bacterial small subunit ribosomal RNA", at positions 355 to 776 of the family's 1533-position model. The record is from RNAcentral.
CUAAGAAUCUUCCGCAAUGGGCGAAAGCCUGACGGAGCGACGCCGCGUGAACGAAGAAGGCCGUGAGGUUGUAAAGUUCUUUUCCUGGGGAGGAAUAAUGCGUGGAGGGAAUGCCAUGCAGAUGACGUGAACCAGGGAAUAAGCCCCGGCUAAUUACGUGCCAGCAGCCGCGGUAACACGUAAGGGGCAAGCGUUGUUCGGAUUUAUUGGGCGUAAAGGGCGUGUAGGCGGCAGUACAAGUCUGGUGUGAAAUACUCCGGCUCAACCGGAGAGACGCGCUGGAAACUGUACUGCUAGAGUUUAGGAGGGGGAGCUGGAAUUCCUGGUGUAGGGGUGAAAUCUGUAGAGAUCAGGAAGAACACCGGAGGCGAAGGCGAGCUCCUGGCCAUAGACUGACGCUGAGGCGCGAAAGCGUGGGGAGCGAACAGG